UUGGGCGUAAAGAGAGUGCAGGCGGUUUUCUAAGUCUGAUGUGAAAGCCUUCGGCUUAACCGGAGAAGUGCAUCGGAAACUGGAUAACUUGAGUGCAGAAGAGGGUAGUGGAACUCCAUGUGUAGCGGUGGAAUGCGUAGAUAUAUGGAAGAACACCAGUGGCGAAGGCGGCUACCUGGUCUGCAACUGACGCUGAGACUCGAAAGCAUGGGUAGCGAACAGGAUUAGAUACCCCUGGUAG
RNAcentral lists this ribosomal RNA (241 nucleotides) under uncultured bacterium. RNAcentral describes it as "partial 16S ribosomal RNA". It matches the Rfam family "Bacterial small subunit ribosomal RNA", at positions 554 to 793 of the family's 1533-position model. The record is from RNAcentral.